Labeo rohita (rohu) is the source of this 687-nucleotide long non-coding RNA. RefSeq lists it as uncharacterized. The transcript has 3 exons. Lineage: Eukaryota; Metazoa; Chordata; Actinopteri; Cypriniformes; Cyprinidae. The record is from RefSeq and is a predicted model, not a curated record.
UUUAGGUCACAGCGCUGGAGAGAGCGAGUGUGUGAGCAUCAUCUGCCUGAUGGUCCGGCUUCUCUACGGGCUGAAGCGACAGCUUUUGAAAGCCUCAAAGUCAUCUGUCAGUGUGAAGCGACGAGGGGCGAGUCAACAUCUGUGUAGGUAAAGGAGAGAAUAAAAGAAAUUCAUACAAGUUUGGAAAACUUUGAGGUAAGCUGCUUAAACACCUACCAGCAGUGACAUCACAGGCUCUGGUGCCAGCUACUUUCCAAUACAUAUCCUUCAGUGCGGGAGGGAGGAAGAAAAGGACCAAGAUACAGAAAGCGAGAGUGGUUAUCGGUUCUUUCUGCACUCGUGCUUUUUCUUCUCAUCCUUUCUCUCGCCGCAGAGGCUGGGGGCCUGUCCUCUCACAUUAACCGCUGCUCAGACACACACAGGCCUCCACCUCGCUAGUGUGGAAACGGGUCGUCAGCCUCUGAGACGAUUAUGACAAAAAAAUGCAAAAAAUGAAUUCUCCCCAAUAGAUGAACAGCUUGAGAAGAGGAGGAGUAGGCUGUGAGGGAGAGGAAGUGGAGGAAGAAAGAAAGAAAAGUCAUAUUUCAUCCUUAAAUAUAAGAAAUAUGAUUAUGAUAUGAUUCUAUACUGUGUAUAGAGAAACAAAUCCUGUUAAAAACAUUAUUUUUAAGUGCCUUUUUUAUAACA